RNAcentral lists this ribosomal RNA (460 nucleotides) under uncultured bacterium. Its description in RNAcentral is "partial 16S ribosomal RNA". It matches the Rfam family "Bacterial small subunit ribosomal RNA", at positions 338 to 795 of the family's 1533-position model. The record is from RNAcentral.
CCUACGCGCGGCAGCAGUGAGGUAUAUUGGUCAAUGGCCGUAAGGCUGAACCAGCCUAGUAGCGUGAGGGAAGACUGCCCUAUGGGUUGUAAACCUCUUUUAUGCGGGGGUAAAGGUGUCCACGUGUGGAUGUUUGCAGGUACCGCAUGAAUAAGGACCGGCUAAUUUCGUGCCAGCAGCCGCGGUAAUACGGAAGGUCCGGGCGUUAUCCGGAUUUAUUGGGUUUAAAGUGAGCGUAGGCCGGUCUUUAAGCGUGCCGUGAAAUUUUGUGGCUCAACCAUGAGAGUGCGGCGCGAACUGGAGACCGUGAGUGCGCGGAAGGCAGGCGGAAUUCGUGGUGUAGCGGUGAAAUGCUUAGAUAUCACGAAGAACCCAGAUUGCGAAGGCAGCCUGCCGCAGCGUUACUGACGCUGAAGCUCGAAAGCGCGGGUAUCGAACAGGAUUAGAUACCCGUGUAGUC